UGCAUUGAGGAUGCAAUGGGUGGACAUUGAU
Molecule: non-coding RNA, 31 nt
Filed under: Mus musculus (house mouse)
Lineage: Eukaryota; Metazoa; Chordata; Mammalia; Rodentia; Muridae
Source: RNAcentral